CAGUCGCCGCGGGAACACGAAGGGGGCUAGCGUUGUUCGGAUUUACUGGGCGUAAAGCGCACGUAGGCGGACUUUUAAGUCAGGGGUGAAAUCCCGGGGCUCAACCCCGGAACUGCCUUUGAUACUGGAAGUCUUGAGUAUGGUAGAGGUGAGUGGAAUUCCGAGUGUAGAGGUGAAAUUCGUAGAUAUUCGGAGGAACACCAGUGGCGAAGGCGGCUCACUGGACCAUUACUGACGCUGAGGUGCGAAAGCGUGGGGAGCAAACAGGAUUAGAUACCCCCGUAGUCCCUGUCUCUUAUAC
This 301-nucleotide ribosomal RNA is filed under the name uncultured bacterium. Its description in RNAcentral is "partial 16S ribosomal RNA". It matches the Rfam family "Bacterial small subunit ribosomal RNA", at positions 509 to 807 of the family's 1533-position model. The record is from RNAcentral.